UCGUGACUGCGUGCCUUUUGAAGAAUGAGCCUGCGAGUUUGCGGUAUGUUGCGAGGUUAACCCGUGUGGGGUAGCCGUAGCGAAAGCGAGUCCGAAUAGGGCGUUGAGUAGCGUGCCCAAGACCCGAAGCGGAGUGAUCUAGCCAUGGGCAGGUUGAAGCGGAGGUAAGACUUCGUGGAGGACCGAACCCACCAGGGUUGAAAACCUGGGGGAUGACCUGUGGUUAGGGGUGAAAGGCCAAUCAAACUCCGUGAUAGCUGGUUCUCCCCGAAAUGCAUUUAGGUGCAGCGUCGUGUGUUUCUUGCCGGAGGUAGAGCACUGGAUAGGCGAUGGGCCCUACCGGGUUACUGACCUUAGCCAAACUCCGAAUGCCGGUAAGUGAGAGCGCGGCAGUGAGACUGUGGGGGAUAAGCUCCAUGGUCGAGAGGGAAACAGCCCAGAGCAUCGACUAAGGCCCCUAAGCGUGUGCUAAGUGGGAAAGGAUGUGGAGUCGCAGAGACAACCAGGAGGUUGGCUUAGAAGCAGCCACCCUUGAAAGAGUGCGUAAUAGCUCACUGGUCAAGUGAUUCCGCGCCGACAAUGUAGCGGGGCUCAAGCACACCGCCGAAGUCGUGUCAUUGCAGCAUGAGGGCCAACGCCCGCUGUGAUGGGUAGGGGAGCGUCGUGUGCCGGGUGAAGCAGCCGUGGAAACGAGUUGUGGACGGUUCACGAGUGAGAAUGCAGGCAUGAGUAGCGAUACAAGAGUGGGAAACUCUUGCGCCGAUUGACUAAGGGUUCCUGGGUCAAGCUGAUCUGCCCAGGGUAAGUCGGGACCUAAGGCGAGGCCGACAGGCGUAGUCGAUGGACAACCGGUUGAUAUUCCGGUACCCGCUUUGAAACGCCCAGUAUCGAAUCCAUUAAUGCUAAAGCCGUGAAGCCGGCCUGGAGUCUUCGGACAAAGGGACGUGGUGGAGCCGCUGACCCAAGGUGGUAGUAGGUAAGCGAUGGGGUGACGCAGGAAGGUAGUCCAGCCCGGGCGGUGGUUGUCCCGGGGUAAGGGUGUAGGGCGCUGUCUAGGCAAAUCCGGACAGCAUGAUGCCUGAGACCUGAUGCCGAGCCGAUUGUGGUGAAGUGGAUGAUCCUAUGCUGUCGAGAAAAGCCUCUAGCGAGUUUCAUGGCGGCCCGUACCCUAAACCGACUCAGGUGGUCAGGUAGAGAAUACCGAGGCGUUCGGGUGAACUAUGGUUAAGGAACUCGGCAAAAUGCCCCCGUAACUUCGGGAGAAGGGGGGCCAUUGCUGGUGAUGAGUCUUGCACUCUGAGCUGGUGGUGGCCGCAGAGACCAGCGAGAAGCGACUGUUUACUAAAAACACAGGUCCGUGCGAAGCCGUAAGGCGAUGUAUACGGACUGACGCCUGCCCGGUGCUGGAACGUUAAGGGGACCGGUUAGUCACAUUUCGGUGUGGCGAAGCUGAGAACUUAAGCGCCAGUAAACGGCGGUGGUAACUAUAACCAUCCUAAGGUAGCGAAAUUCCUUGUCGGGUAAGUUCCGACCUGCACGAAUGGCGUAACGACUUCUCGACUGUCUCAACCAUAGGCCCGGUGAAAUUGCAUUACGAGUAAAGAUGCUCGUUUCGCGCAGCAGGACGGAAAGACCCCGGGACCUUUACUAUAGCUUGAUAUUGGUGUUCGGUUCGGCUUGUGUAGGAUAGGUGGGAGACUGUGAAGCAUCAACGCCAGUUGGUGUGGAGUCAUUGUUGAAAUACCACUCUGGUCGUGCUGGAUGUCUAACCUGGGUCCGUGAUCCGGAUCAGGGACAGUGUCUGGUGGGUAGUUUAACUGGGGCGGUUGCCUCCUAAAGAGUAACGGAGGCGCCCAAAGGUUCCCUCAGCCUGGUUGGCAAUCAGGUGUUGAGUGUAAGUGCACAAGGGAGCUUGACUGUGAGACUGACGGGUCGAGCAGGUACGAAAGUAGGGACUAGUGAUCCGGCGGUGGCUUGUGGAAGCGCCGUCGCUCAACGGAUAAAAGGUACCCCGGGGAUAACAGGCUGAUCUUCCCCAAGAGUCCAUAUCGACGGGAUGGUUUGGCACCUCGAUGUCGGCUCGUCGCAUCCUGGGGCUGGAGUCGGUCCCAAGGGUUGGGCUGUUCGCCCAUUAAAGCGGUACGCGAGCUGGGUUUAGAACGUCGUGAGACAGUUCGGUCCCUAUCCGCUGUGCGCGUAGGAGUCUUGAGAAGGGCUGUCCCUAGUACGAGAGGACCGGGACGGACGAACCUCUGGUGUGCCAGUUGUCCUGCCAAGGGCAUGGCUGGUUGGCUACGUUCGGAAAGGAUAACCGCUGAAAGCAUCUAAGCGGGAAGCCUGCUUCGAGAUGAGGACUCCCACCCCCUUUGA
RNAcentral lists this ribosomal RNA (2370 nucleotides) under Streptomyces natalensis. RNAcentral describes it as "bacterial LSU rRNA". It matches the Rfam family "Bacterial large subunit ribosomal RNA", at positions 591 to 2826 of the family's 2925-position model. Lineage: Bacteria; Bacillati; Actinomycetota; Actinomycetes; Kitasatosporales; Streptomycetaceae. The record is from RNAcentral.